This 253-nucleotide ribosomal RNA is filed under the name uncultured bacterium. RNAcentral describes it as "partial 16S ribosomal RNA". It matches the Rfam family "Bacterial small subunit ribosomal RNA", at positions 524 to 776 of the family's 1533-position model. The record is from RNAcentral.
UACGUAGGGUGCAAGCGUUGUCCGGAAUUAUUGGGCGUAAAGAGCUCGUAGGCGGUCUGUCGCGUCGGCUGUGAAAACCCGGGGCUCAACCCCAGGCCUGCAGUCGAUACGGGCAGACUAGAGUGCGGUAGGGGAGACUGGAAUUCCUGGUGUAGCGGUGAAAUGCGCAGAUAUCAGGAGGAACACCGGUGGCGAAGGCGGGUCUCUGGGCCGUAACUGACGCUGAGGAGCGAAAGCGUGGGGAGCGAACAGG